This 253-nucleotide ribosomal RNA is filed under the name uncultured bacterium. RNAcentral describes it as "partial 16S ribosomal RNA". It matches the Rfam family "Bacterial small subunit ribosomal RNA", at positions 524 to 776 of the family's 1533-position model. The record is from RNAcentral.
UACGGGGGGGGCAAGCGUUGUUCGGAAUUACUGGGCAUAAAGGGCUCGUAGGUGGCCAACUAAGUCAGACGUGAAAUCCCUCAGCUUAACUGGGGAACUGCGUCUGAUACUGGAUGGCUUGAGUUUGGGAGAGGGAUGCGGAAUUCCAGGUGUAGCGGUGAAAUGCGUAGAUAUCUGGAGGAACACCGGCGGCGAAGGCGGCAUCCUGGACCAACACUGACACUGAGGAGCGAAAGCCAGGGGAGCAAACGGG